RNAcentral lists this long non-coding RNA (202 nucleotides) under Mytilus galloprovincialis (Mediterranean mussel). Lineage: Eukaryota; Metazoa; Mollusca; Bivalvia; Mytilida; Mytilidae. The record is from RNAcentral.
CUUUGUUUAGAAAAAUCUCUUCAAAAUUGGAAAAAAAAACACGUUUUAAAUCUUCUUCUACACAGGCAAGCGUGAAACUAUUUUUUUUUUUUUUAUAAUGUCUGUUGUACCACUUGAUGGUGAUAUUACAAGUAUACUUCAACAUUCCAAAAUCUGCAAGGGCAUCGUUGCAGUUGUGUACAGCAACACCUUAAAAGGGGAG